This 468-nucleotide ribosomal RNA is filed under the name uncultured bacterium. RNAcentral's name for it is "partial 16S ribosomal RNA". It matches the Rfam family "Bacterial small subunit ribosomal RNA", at positions 28 to 507 of the family's 1533-position model. The record is from RNAcentral.
GACGAACGCUGGCGGCGUGCUUAACACAUGCAAGUCGAACGGAAAGGCCCUGCUUUUGUGGGGUGCUCGAGUGGCGAACGGGUGAGUAACACGUGAGUAACCUGCCCUUGACUUUGGGAUAACUUCAGGAAACUGGGGCUAAUACCGGAUAGGAGCUCCUGCUGCAUGGUGGGGGUUGGAAAGUUUCGGCGGUUGGGGAUGGACUCGCGGCUUAUCAGCUUGUUGGUGGGGUAGUGGCUUACCAAGGCUUUGACGGGUAGCCGGCCUGAGAGGGUGACCGGCCACCUUGGGACUGAGGUACGGCCCAGACUCCUACGGGAGGCAGCGGUGGGGAAUAUUGCACAAUGGGCGGAAGCCUGAUGCAGCGACGCCGCGUGCGGGAUGACGGCCUUCGGGUUGUAAACCGCUUUCGCCUGUGACGAAGCGUGAGUGACGGUAAUGGGUAAAGAAGCACCGGCUAACUACGUG